Molecule: ribosomal RNA, 857 nt
Filed under: uncultured Streptococcus sp.
Lineage: Bacteria; Bacillati; Bacillota; Bacilli; Lactobacillales; Streptococcaceae
Description: bacterial SSU rRNA
Rfam family: Bacterial small subunit ribosomal RNA
Source: RNAcentral
GACGAACGCUGACGGAAUGCUUAACACAUGCAAGUCGAACUGAAUUAGGGUUUUAGCUUGCUCUUUUCGUAAUUGAGUGGCAAACGGGUGAGUAACACGUAAACCACCUGCCUUCAGGAUGGGGACAACAGACGGAAACGACUGCUAAUACCGAAUAAGUUCCAAGAGCCGCAUGGCCAUGGAAGAAAAGGUGGCCUCUACCUGUUUGCUAUCCCCUGAAUAGGGGUUUGCGUCUGAUUACCUGGUUGGAAGGAUGACGGCCCACCCUGGCGACGAGAACGGCCCGGUCGGAAAUGAUGAACGGCCCUUACUCAACUGAGACACGGUCCUGACUCCUAUUGGAGGAUGGACUGGGGAAUCUUCCGCAAUGGGCUAAAGCCUGAAUGAACUUUUUCGCAUGAGUGAUGACUGCCUUCUGGUUGUAAAAAUCUGUGAUCCCGGACGAAAAAGCUGACUGCUAAAUACAUACCGGAUUGACGGUACCUAAAAAUGAAGCCACGGCUAACUACGUGCCAGCAGCCGCGGUAAUACCUAGGUGGUUAGCGUUGUCCGGAAUUAUUGGGCGUAAAGCGCGCCCAGGCGGCUUCCCAAGUUCCUCUUAUAAGUGACUGGCUUAACCCCGUGAUGGGAAGGAAACUGGGAAGCUGGAGUAUCGGAUAGGAAAGUGGAAUUCCUAGUGUACCGGUGAAAUGCGUAGAUAUUAGGAAGAACCCCGGUGGGCGUAGGGACUUUAUGUAUUAAACUCACUCUUAGGCACGUAAGAAGUGGGAAUCAGAUGAUAAAUACUCCUUUCUUUAGGUCACUCUCCGCGGGUGAAUAAAAAAAAUAGUCCCGCGGGAUUUUUUUACUAUAAAAUG